Ostrea edulis (European flat oyster) is the source of this 6606-nucleotide RNA transcript. RefSeq lists it as uncharacterized. Lineage: Eukaryota; Metazoa; Mollusca; Bivalvia; Ostreida; Ostreidae. The record is from RefSeq and is a predicted model, not a curated record. The transcript is spliced from 3 exons.
AUUUUCUUCGUCUUGAUUCUGGUCGGGAUCGGUAUUCACCUCCCCAUUCAACUUUCAUUUUAAUACCCGCGUAUUCUCCUUGACAACUGACAGGCUAGACAGCUACGUGAUGGGUUGAUGCUUCAGAGGAAGACGGUUCGUUUGGACGCCUGUUAAACGAUGAUCAUCUUCAUCCAAAUUGUAAGCCAAAAGUCAUUGAGAUAGAUGAGAAGCCAGUUAUUUGCUUUUACUCUCUAAAACUAAUACCUCCAGAUACAGAACUGUUGUAUGAUUAUGGGCCUGGUAACAUGUAUCCUUGGAGAAGAAAGGUAAUGAAGCCAUAUUUGCAUGCUUUUUUUGUGUGUGUAUGUGUGAUUUGAGGUGGAUGAAUAUACACAUGUAAAUAUUCAAUCUAAUUUCAGCUCAUUUGCAAUGCUAUAUUUUAUGUUAGCUGAAUCAAAAAUAAGAUAUCGAUUGCAUGACUCUUUUAUCUGUAGAUGUCCAAAAGAAGUGCAAAAAAUACAAAUCCAUGGAAAGGUCUUAUUUUUGUGCAUUAUGUUCUUGUUUUGUUGAAACUUAUCACCAGAAUUUUUUAUUGAACUUAACACUCAGAGAAAAGCAAAUUUAUAAUUUAUCUAUCUUCAAUAUGCUAACUUAAGACUAUGGUUACAACCCGAGUACAACAGUUUUGAAGCAAUUUACCGAAUUUCAUCUUAGAGAUCAUCUUUCUCUAACUUAUAUGAAACUUAAAUGAAUACAUAAGCUCAGAAGUUGUGAAAUAGUCAAUGUACAGUGUUUAUACAUACAGCAAAUUUGCUGGACCUAUAACGAAAAGUGUAUUAUUAUAUUUGUUUAUGGUUACCCAAACAAACCCUAACUCAAUAGCUUUCUUUAGAAUAUAUUUUAUGCUGGUAUGAAAUUUUCACUGUUUCACUACUGCUGCAAAUCACUUCUUUUUCUUUAGAACUUUAUUUUAUGUAAUGACUUGAGACUGUCUGCUUACAUGUAUUUUUAAUGUUAAGGAUUAUUUUCAACAAUAUACAGAUUUCUAUAAAAAUUUUGUCUUGCUAAUAAAUACCAUAUGACUUUCUUGCAAAAAUAAGGUAUCAAAAAAAUUUGGUGCUCUACAGUGUGUCAGAACUGUUGGUUAGAUGGACAAUCUAUUGUUUACUACCUUGUGUUAAACAAAAAGUGGGUUUCACAUAGUUUUUCUACUUCAGACUAAAAAUAGAUUGGGAAUUUCCCGUACUAAGAAAGGAGAAAAUGUAUGUCUGGACCAGGUAUCGAACUGAGACUCCUGCAUCACUAGUGCAGGUGCUCUACCAACUGACCUAUCCAGGCAAAUAUCCAUGGUCCAAACCAUUACAUUCCAAAGUGAUGUAAUUGGUUCAUUCUUGUCAUCCAAUGAAAUACCUCAUUUCUUGCUACGUUAGGUUAUGAAUUUAGCAUAUAUAAACAAACCUGCUGAAAUGGCAAAUUUUGCUAACUCAAAUGGGAAAAAUACAUGCAAAUUAAGUUUUUAAUAACUCUAUCAUGGACUAAUAUAGUGUUUAGAAUGCUUGAAUUAAUCUUUAUAAAUUAUGUAAUAGAAUGCAGAUUGCAAAUUAUUCUAUUUUAUAUCAAGUGGUGGAUCGGUCUAACUACACAAAAGUACCCUGAAAUUAGUGUUCAGUGUAGAGAGGGUCGUUAAACAUGUUAAAGCAAAGUUAUUUUCAUUCUGUUUCGUUGUAAACCAUGUUGACAACUUAACAAUAUAAAUUACAUCUAUGAGAGCAAAAUGGUCAGUCCUUAGUAUUUUGCUAUAGGGAUGUUUUACUGUACAUAUAUUUAUUCACCCUGUGGAAGUUUGAUAUGUAUACUUUCUAUACUUACAGUGUUUUAAUGUAGAAUUAUGACCACAGCAUUUCUUUUAUCUUGGCAGUAACUGUAAGAAUUAAUAUAAUUUUUCAUUACUAAUGCCAUAAAAUCAGGGAUCCAAGGCCUAUGAUAAUUGUGCAAAACUUAAAACAAAAAGGUGGAGGCUCAUACCUCACAUUACAAAGGUUUUGACCUAUGAACAUGUGUGUAUAUCAUAAAAUGGCACUUUUUAUUCUGGUUUAAAUAUUUGUGUUUUUAAAAUCAAGUUUCAUUUUUUUCCAGAGGAAGUAAGGGAUAUUGAUGCCAGUACUUGUGUUUCUUGUGUGGAUGAUGAGGAUCAGAGUGAGGAGGAAAUAGAUGACAGUCAAGACAACCAGAAUUUCCAAACUGUGACUCCAGGGAAGAGGGAGGCAGUAUUUGAUAGCGGAUGCUCCAGAGAAAUGGAUGAGUCUUCAUCCAAGCAACAGAAGUUACAGAAAAAGCCAUGGACUUCAUCUGAAAUGAACUCCAUUCACAAACAUUUUUCACACUUUAUUACCAUUUUGAAGGUACCUGGGAAAAAUGAUGUAACAAAUGUUUUGAAAAAAGAUAAAAACCUUUCAAAAAGAACUUGGAGAAAUGUAAGAGACCAAGUCUACAAUCUAAUUUAAAAACAGAGAAAAUGUUGAUUUCGAUACUACUUUGAUUGUUCACUACAAUUGAUGGUAUCUGUAUGAAAAAUGAUAUUUUUGUUUACAGUUCUUACAAUUUACAUAAAUUGUACAUAACAGAAUUUGUUGAAUCAUUAUCAAAAUAGAUUUUGACAAAUUUCAGCUUUUUAGUGAGCCUUUCUGAUCAAAAUUUGUCUGUUGUCUGUCGUUGUUGUGACCGGAAGGUCGGAUGUUCGAAUCCCUGCUGCGACUUGACCUGAGUCAAUAAGAAAUAGGUAGCAACUGUUCCAUGGCCAAGCGCUCAGCACAUUGAAAUAAAAGUUUCAGGUCUUUCAGAUGAGACCUUAAAAACUGAGGUUCCGUGUCAUGGCAGGUGUUGGCAUGAUAAAGAUCCCUCACUGCUUGAUGGCCCUAAGUUCCGAGUAAAGGUCUAAAUUUGAAGCCCUUCACUGGUAUAUGGUGAGGUCUCUAUAUGACUGAAAAAUCUCAAACGGGAUGUAAAACAACAUACAAUCAAUCUAUCAAUCAAUCAUUGUCAACUUUUUACAAUAUCAUCUUCUUCUCCAGAACCACUGGGCCAGUUUCAACCAAACUUGGCACAAAUUAGGAAUUCAAGUUUGUGCAUAUGAAGGGCCACACCGUCUUUCAAGGGAAAAUAAUUAAGAAAAAGUAAAAUUGGGUGUUGUCAUUCAAAAAUCUUCUUCUCAAGAACCUUUGGGUCAGUAAAGAUGAAACUUAAAUGAAAGCUUUCUGACAAAGUGUAAAUUCAAUUUAUUCAAAUCAUGACCCCCGGGGUACUGGUGGAGCCAUUAUGGGCAAUCAAAGUUUUACAUAGGAAUACAUAGGAAAAAUCCUUAAAAUCUAUUUCUCAAGAACAGCAUAGCUAUGAUAAUUCAUUUUAUAUGGAGGUAUCCUCAGGUAGUGUAGAAUCAAGUUUGGUCCAAUUGUGGCCCUGAGGUAGGGUGGGACAACUAUGGGCGGUCAAAUUUUUACACAGGAAUACAUAGCAAAAUUCUUUAAAACUAUUUUCCCCAUGAAUAAAAAAGUAAUGAUUAGUCAUAUUUAUAUAGAAGCAUCCUAUGGUAAGCAUAGAUUCAAGAUUGCUCUAGUCAUUAAUCCCCCCCUCCCCCCCCCCCACCCCCCACUACCUCCUGGGCUUCAAUGGGUAAUCAAAUAAAAGUUUUUCAUAGGAAUGUGUAGGGAAAAAAAUCUGAUUAAAAACAAGAAUGGUCAUAGUUACUCAGGUGAGCAUUUUGUCCCAUGGGCACAUUGUUAACAUUGUUUAAUCAAAAUGCAGAGAAUAUGUUGAUUUGCAUAUUACAGGUACAUGUAAUAUUGAUCAGUUGGUCAUGUGAUAUAAUUUUAUAUCUGAAAUGAAAUGAUGGCAAUUGUAUGAAUGAUGAUGAGUUUAAAGUCAGAUUCUUUAACACAUGUAUUUUCAAGAAAAAAUUUGUCUGGAGGUAUUUUGGAAAUUUACUUUUUAUAGUAUUGUAAUAAAUGUUUGUUUUCAUGCAAUGUUGAAGAUCAAGUAUCUACGAACACAACUGACUUGAAUGAACAUCAGAAGUAUUAGAUAAUGUAUUUACAACUGAAACUGUAAUAGAAUUUUAUCAAUUGAAUUUGUUAAAUUCAUUUGAUAAUAAAUUUUGAUUUUUUACCUAAAUUUAAACAUUUUGUUGCUUAGUAGAUCAGACAACAUUUAAAUCAGAAGAUUUAAACAUGAUACCCAUCGGCCAUUUUACGUAAACUGUUUGUAUUGACUGAAUGGUUCAGUACUUUUUUGUCAGUCAAUAAUUUAAUACCUCAGUAUGUGAGCAGGUCCAGGAGAAUGGUGUCUGGUGUGAAUAAGGGACAUGCAGUCAAUUUGUAGCUCAUUGAUCUAAAGGAGGAAUAAAUAUGAUAUACGGUCUGUAUUUGAGUCAUAGUUAGCACUGUCCCAGGGUGAAGUUUUUGCAGCAGAUCUAUCACUAUGUAAAUACAUACUUUGCAUAGAAAGAACUCGCAUGAUUGAACAGUGCUUCACAAGCCUUGCAUGACGUGUGUAGCAAACAUUGAAAGUGUUGUAGGAAGUUUUACUAUGAUUUGAUUUUACAUGAAAAAAUUCCAAAGUAUCACAUACUUUUCUUAAAGUAAAAAAGGUGCAAUUAAGUUUGAUUAAGUCUCCAAUUUUAAUUAAUAACCAUACCCUUGUAUGAGAUCCUCAUGUUACUGUACUUUUAUCAAGUGCAUGUACUGUAAUAUGUCCUAAAUUGAAUAUAAGUUUAUUAUUUUCAAGUACCCAAAUUUUUCAGUGUAAAUAAGGUCCGCGGUUUCUGUUUAAACCAUAUUAUUUGAUGUAAGUCCCCAAACUUGUACCCUGUGUAUAAGGUCCUCAGUUUCUAUAUAAACCAUUAUCUUGUGUAAGUCCCCAAACUUUUACCGUGUGUAUAAGGUCCUCAGUUUCUAAAUAUACCCUUAUCUUGUGUAAGUCCUCAAUUUCUAUUUAUACCCUUAUCUUGUGUAAGUCCUCAAACUUUUACCGUGUGUAUAAGGUCCUCAGUUUCUAUACCCUUAUUCUGUGUAAGUCCCCAAACUUUUAUUUGUGUAUAAAGUCCUCAGUUUCUGUAGGUACCCUUACAAUAUGUAAGUCCCCAAACGUUUACCGUGCGUAUAAGGUCCCCCGUUUCUAUCCCCCUUCUCUUGUGUAAGUCCCCAAACUUUUACCUUGUGUAUAAAGUCCUCAGUUUCUGUAGGUACCCUUAUCAUGUGUAUGUCCCCAAACUUUUACCUUGUGUAUAAAGUCCUCAGUUUCUGUAGGUACCCUUACCAUGUGUAAGUCCCCAAACUUUUACCUUGUGUAAAAGGUCCUCAGUUUUCUAUAUAUACCCUUGUCUUGUGUAAGUCUUCAAACUUUCAUUGGCUAUAUAUAGUCUUCAGUUUCUAUAUCUUUAUCUUGUAUAAUUUCUCUUAAACUUUAGCCGCGUGUAGAAGGUCCAAGUUUCUGAACCUCUUAUUUUGUGUAAGUGUACAAUGUGUAUAAGGUCCUCAGGUUAAAGUACGUUUUUCUUAUUCAAGUACACAACAUUAAUUACGGUACCGGGUGCUACAAACAUGGCCGUAGAAACCCAAGGGGCCGUGCCCCCAUAAUCUUGCCGAUAUAUAGUAUACUAGAGAAAAAAUUAGCUCCUUGAUGCUUGUGCCCCCACAAUAAUAGUGUCUGAUUACCUUUUUUCUUUUCUUUUUUUCUCGUCAAGAAAUUUUUGCUUGGUAGUUUCUAAAAAUAUUUGGUUUAAAAACGUGUUUUGUCCUUCGAACCAAACUGUUUGCCUUCGGCUUAACGACCCCAAGCAAACAGUUUGGUUCAUGGGUCCGACAAACCACAUGUUGCCCUAGAACCCAGUCAAUAAAAUUAAUGACAUGUAUGAUUCAUAGGUCCAUGCUACCCCAAAAAUUUUAAUUCAUGAAUAGGUCCCCAUUUGUCUCUGUUUGUGUAUGAACGACUGAGGUUAGGUCCUCAAUUCUGUUUGCUUAUGAGGAAUUGGGUCCCCUAACUUUACACAGAAGUCCCCAGAUUGGCACUUCCGGGUCCCCGUUUUCUAAAUUCAUGGACAUAUCAGCCCAGCUCAAAGACUCACUCUGUUUACUUAAAUCAGGAUACCUACAGAGUAAAAUGAGUUGAACAAUGCCAAAUAUGUCAUGAAAUCUCUGAGUCCCCAUUUUAAGAUGUUAUGACAGGGUCCCCAGAUCGGACUCGAUACACGUAUGUGUGUGUGUGUGUGUGUUCGCGCACUAUGCCGGGACUUACGACACGUAUAAGGUUACACACGAGUAACCUAUGACAUUUUGAUAACCUACGACACAAAUGUGUGCUAAUGUAAGUACAAUGCUAAUGUAAGUGUUUUUGUUUAUUUAAUUGAAUAUAAGUAGUCAAUUAAUGAUUUAAAAUUGAUAUUUUUGUUCCCAUCCGUUUAGUUUGAAUACAUUGGGGUAUGUGAUGUAUCGUUAUUCUGCAGUAAUGAUGAGAAAAAGUAAGUUGACCUUUGACACGACUAAGAUACAAUUAGAUGCGUGUAAGCUUAAAUAGUUCAAUGGUUUUCAUUUUCUGUAUGUUUUUGUGUUUGUUUUAUAUCAUCAUGAUUAU